Drosophila obscura is the source of this 936-nucleotide long non-coding RNA. RefSeq lists it as uncharacterized. The transcript has 3 exons. The record is from RefSeq and is a predicted model, not a curated record. NCBI's taxonomy places the organism in Eukaryota, Metazoa, Arthropoda, Insecta, Diptera, Drosophilidae.
ACUCGUUUUCAGUUCUCGCCUCAGUCCCGUUGCCUGCUAUCACAAGCACGGUAGCUGUCUCUGCUUGCGUGGGUUUUUCCGUUGCCGAUAUCAAUUUCUUACUACGUUCCUUACGCUCCCGAUGCGACUUGGUUUUCUUCGUGAGCUUCAGCUGACCGUUGCCGUCGUCUGGUUUGGACGGGUUUACUUUUGCUUCUGCAACUGGCGCUGCUUCCACUGGCAAUGCGCUUUGCGUCGCUGCCGUUGUAGUUGCUGCUGCUGCUGUUGCUGCUGUCGCUGAGCUGCUGGUUGUCGGUGGUGUAGUUUGACUGCGUCUUGCCCUUGGCACAUAUACGGCCCGGUCGGGGCGGCGUUCGCGGCGAGUGGUGGACUGUUGCUCUCUGCGAAGCAGAAAACCAAAACAGAGGCGAUAAAAUGAACGGCAACAAGCAAGCAGGUUGUUCCUCAUGGAUAGGUUCGGCUGUACAUAUGAAAGUGAGAUUAUCUACCUGCUCGGUGAUUCUUUGGAAGUAGAAUUCGAUAUUGCUGUUCCUGCAGCUGUCUCUGCUGGCGUUUCGUUCGAUGCAGCUGUCUCUUCGCUGCUGCUGUUCUUCCUGAGUGCUGGCGGUCUAUACAAGUCCACAGAGUUCGAUUUGCUUACUGCGGGAGAGGAUCAGAGACAGAGAGAUAGAAGAUAAUCAGAGGAUGAGUGAGGAAAGCAAAAGAGUUGGCAAACCAACAAUCACAAAAACCAAAGCUUCGUGAAUGUCAACACUAGAGCGAGCGAGAGGAGAGAGCGACCGCAACAAGUGAGCGUGCGCAGCCAGCCGCUCAGCUGAGCGAACGAGCGAGUUUCUGUUAAUGAUGCAACAGCACCAAAAAUCCACUUGAGAAAGAGGGCGACCUUGAAUGAGCUGCGUGACCCGCUGCGCUGCCUUCGCACAGCGUCGUCGUCGA